UCUGUGUGUGUUAUAUGUCCCCAAGUAAACAGAGGACAGAAUGUGUGCGUGUGUAACACACAUUCUGAUAAAUGAAGACAAAGGGUUGGUAACUUAGACUUUCAGUGUGUGUGUGUGUGUGUGUGUGUUGGCUAUGUAAUAAGUAGAGACUGAGCAGAGGUAGAAUGCAUUCUCUCAGGUUUUAUUCAGGUUCCUUAGGAAGAGUUCUGUUUGGAGUUACAAAAUGCACUGGUAGAAAUAGCAGAGAGAUAGAUAAAGAGAGAGAAAGAGAGGGAUUUCAUAGCUGGAAUAACGGGACACAUAAUCACCAGAAUCAACAGGCAGCUCUCAAGACUCUCAAUCAAGGGAUUUUAGUUUUUCUUUAAAUAGGGAAAAAUGUAUUCCUUCGUUCCAUGUUGAUCUUUUCUUCAUUUUUUGUAAUGUAAUGCUUCAACAUUAUGUUUAAACUGUUAAAUCAUCUAUCUCCCCACCAUUGCAGUUCCCCCUUUAGUGAAAUAACUGGCAAAUAGUAUCAAACAAAAAACAUUCUUUGCAUCACCAAGGUUCUUCUUUGAAAUAAUUUUUUGUCUGUUUUUUUUGUCCAAAGCUUUUUUACCCCCAGUUUUUUUGUUUUUCAAAAAUAGAAGAAAAAAGGAACACAUUGCUCUUAAAAACAUCUAUCUAUAUAUAUUUAUACAUAUAUACUUUAUUUUUUUUUCUCUUUAUAUUCAUUUCUUUUUUUAAUUCCUGAAGUUGACUUAUUUAACCCCACGUAAUGGCAUGCACGUUGCACAUGCAAAUCAGUUAUUUAAAUACUUUACUUCUUUAAAUCUUAAAUUGCCAUGUAGUUAUGCAUUUUAUUUUCUCUUCAUACUUCCUAACGCGACUCCUGCCCUGUAUGGUUGUACUACUGUGGCACUGGACUGAUAUGAUCUGGCCUCUGUUGGAUUUGUGGGGAAAACAAUGUCUAGGAUCAGCUUUUCCCCUCGUCACUCCUAUGCUUCACCGUCAGGUGGUAAACACGGAAAACUGACCCCAGAGCAGUGUCUAGUGGGACAGAAUAAUGGCAGUGUGACGAUAUUGAUAACUUGAUGGUACAGUGAUAAAUAUGAUGUGAUAACUCAAUGUUAUAGUGAUAACUUGACAGUAUUGUGAUAUGUGAUAAUGGCGUUGUGAUAAUGAAACCGUAUGGAAUUGAGAAUGAUGGGGCCUUGAGGGUUUCCAUAGUGACAGUAGAAGACACUCCACUCUCUCAUAGGGAAUUAAUUCCAUCCACGGUCGCUGAGAAUCCUUGGGUGUGUGCUAAAACGUGCGCGCGCUCAAACACACACACACACACACACACCCACAAUGCCCCUACACAGACUAACUGAUGCUUCCAAACACAGGCACACACAGAUGUGAUACUCACCCAAUCUCUUGCGAAAAACAUCAUGACAACAGACACACUGCGUUAUGCUAUGACGGCCACUGUACAUUCACAUGUAGCUUAAUGCCGAAUGACUCUCGAAGCUCCAGUUCACCACCAUGUGUUGCCGUGUGUUGUGACGUGUGUGCAUGGCGUGUGACACGUGUGUGUGGCGUGAUGUGUGGGUGGAGAAUGAGUGAAAAUGAAUUUAAGCAAUGACCACUGAAUUAGACAUCCGAGUAGAGAAAGACACAGUGAAGAAGAGAGCCGGUUGAUGGAGUGAUUGUUUCAGAAGGUUUAUGGAAGAUGUACACAAGAGGAGUUUACAGAGCCAAUGUACAGGGAGAGGAAGAGAGGAGGACAGACCCAAUAAAACGAUCAUCUACUCCCUGCAGCC
Molecule: long non-coding RNA, 1784 nt
Organism: Esox lucius (northern pike)
Lineage: Eukaryota; Metazoa; Chordata; Actinopteri; Esociformes; Esocidae
Source: Ensembl